AGCGAACGCUGGCGGCAGGCUUAACACAUGCAAGUCGAGCGCCCCGCAAGGGGAGCGGCAGACGGGAGAGUAACACGUGGGAACGUACCCUUUAGUUCGGAACAACCCAGGGAAACUUGGGCUAAUACCGGAUACGUCCGUAAGGAGAAAGAUUUAUCGCUAAAGGAUCGGCCCGCGUCUGAUUAGCUAGUUGGUGAGGUAACGGCUCACCAAGGCGACGAUCAGUAGCUGGUCUGAGAGGAUGAUCAGCCUCACUGGGACUGAGACACGGCCCAUCCUCCGACGGGAGGCAGCAGUGGGGAAUAUUGGACAAUGGGCGCAAGCUUGAUCCAGCCAUGCCGCGUGGGUGAUGAAGGCCCUAGGGUUGUAAAGCCCUUCCGGCGGGGAAGAUAAUGACGGUACCCGCAGAAGAAGCCCCGGCUAACUUCGUGCCAGCAGCCGCCGUAA
This 447-nucleotide ribosomal RNA is filed under the name uncultured bacterium. Its description in RNAcentral is "partial 16S ribosomal RNA". It matches the Rfam family "Bacterial small subunit ribosomal RNA", at positions 29 to 523 of the family's 1533-position model. The record is from RNAcentral.